GUCAAAUUCAAUAUCAGUAAAAAAACAGAGAGCUAUAUUAAACCUAUCUGUAUUAAGCCUAGCCUAGAAUUAUAACUACUAAAGAGACCUAAAGUAGGCAACUCUGGAUAGCAGGCUGUAGAAACUGCACACUGCUGUCUUGAAUUUAUAUGCUGCAGCAGUCUUGACGCAGAAGGUGGUCCAAGUACGACUCCUGCAGAUUUACUGGAUGUCACCCAUAUCUGCACUGUUUUCUCCCAGCUGAGUUUGACCUAGGACACUUACUGCUUUCAAUCUUCAUGUCAGAGAAGACGAAUGUAAACUAAAUAUAUAUAUUAAGAAAGAGAUGUAGUACAAUACAAGUAAAAAAAAGAAUCAGGAAAAGAACAUUAUCAUUUCUCUCAUCUUUUGCUAAGAGACAAGAGAAAUGAGAGGCAGAUGUGCUUCUACCUGAGCAGGGGAAUGAGGCUGGUAAAGCCUGCUAUUGGGAGAGAAAAUUAACUCUGUGGAGAACAGACCGAACCAGAUACACACAGAAACAUGUGCAGACUCUCUCCUUCCCUUUCUCCUUCCCCCACGUCCCCCACCUGACUACAUAUCACUGUGGCUUCCCUCCAGCUGCAGCAGAAGGGAGCGGGAACAAGGGACUCCUCAACCUGUCUGCACCUCCUGAAUCGCCUGAAGAGAGAAAACUGACUGGAGGGAGGAAGAUGUGAACGCUCGUGGCAAUGACACCUUUGGAGUUGAGCCCACUUACCCUGGAAUUCCUCAGUACUCCAACAAAGCCCAGUCUGUAGUUUUACCUAAUUAUUAAUACACUUUAUAAGGAAGCUGGGUUCUGAGUCUGUACUGUCCCACACAACUAAGGAGCUUUACUUUAAGGAUAUUUAAAAGAGGGGUGAACACAGGCAGGCAGGUAGCUUAAUCAGGCUGUCCUGGAAAUAUGUAUCUACAUCACUCAGAAGUCCAGUUUUGGGGAUUGAACCAUAAGACUACCUAUCCCUGAAAAGGAGGAAAGCUUAUCUUAGUUCUAAAAGCGCAAUUCUGAGUCACUGAAGCACCUCAGAGAAACCACUGAGAAAGGUAAGGUCCUGAAUCAAGGCAUCUUUCACGGUUGGUGCUGGUGAGGCAGCAGCUCUAGCUCAGAGAAAAGAUGAACGCCUUCUGCCUUCGCACUUGGCCCUGAGAGAUAGUUCCUUGGCUGGGUGGGCUGGAAAAUAGUUAUUGGAGCCACUGCUGGUGGCCUAAUAGUCACCAUCAACAUCUCCAUGUAGGCAGAGUCUUUCCUCAGUCCCACUUUUAUUAAAAGAAAAAAACAACAGCAACAAGCCAGUGUUCUUAGGUGAUUCCUUCUCUCAAGUUUUUU
RNAcentral lists this long non-coding RNA (1345 nucleotides) under Anser brachyrhynchus (Pink-footed goose). Its description in RNAcentral is "lncRNA (ENSABRG00000007525.1)". Lineage: Eukaryota; Metazoa; Chordata; Aves; Anseriformes; Anatidae. The record is from RNAcentral.